RNAcentral lists this transfer RNA (87 nucleotides) under Candelaria pacifica. Its description in RNAcentral is "tRNA-Ser". It matches the Rfam family "tRNA". From Rfam's summary of the family: Transfer RNA (tRNA) molecules are approximately 80 nucleotides in length. Their secondary structure includes four short double-helical elements and three loops (D, anti-codon, and T loops). RNAcentral also lists the same sequence under 2 other names. Lineage: Eukaryota; Fungi; Ascomycota; Candelariomycetes; Candelariales; Candelariaceae. The record is from RNAcentral.
GGAAAGGUGGCAGAGAGGUCGAAUGCAUCGGUUUUGAAAACCGACGUAGCUUAACGGUUACCGAGGGUUCGAAUCCCUCCCUUUCCG